CCUUUCAGCGAUAAGUACGAUCGGCAAUUGAAACAAACUCAGAUUGUUCAAACGGUAGAUAAAAACAUGCAUUUGAAUUAAAGAUGCCCUCGGCAUCAAUGUGUUCGGUACAUAAAAUAAAAAUAGAAAAAAAAUAAUAAUAAUUCUGCUAUUACAAAUAAACGGCAAGAGGUCCUUAGGCUUCGUCGCCGUCAGCAGCCUCGGCAAAACCAGAACCUUCGGCGACGUCCUCCCCCUCAUACUCCUCGAUCAUUUCCUCGGUUAUUCGUUCCGGUAAGGGGGGAGGGCCGGCGAUGAAGUUCAGGUUCAGCUUUUGCCCAGGGUUGUACCGUUUGAACCGGUACAACAGGUCCGCCAUCUCCGAGCCCACUUCCUUAUCCAGAAGGACAAUGAACUCUUCAGGCGAGCGGUACCCCGGAUAGCUGACCGAACGGCAGCCUCGAUCUCCGCAGCCUUGGCCCGCUCCGACUCCUCUAAGGCCACCUGCACCGCCUCUUUGGCAGCCUUGGCAUCCCUCGCUGUUGCCAGCGCUGCCUCCAGGAGACCAUUCAUCUCCUCCACCUUCUCCUCC
RNAcentral lists this long non-coding RNA (571 nucleotides) under Prunus persica (peach). Its description in RNAcentral is "long non-coding RNA (PPER_LNC003356)". Lineage: Eukaryota; Viridiplantae; Streptophyta; Magnoliopsida; Rosales; Rosaceae. The record is from RNAcentral.